UAACACGUAAGUAAUCUACCUUCGAGUGGGGAAGUAACGUCCGGAAACGGACGCUAAUACCGCAUAAUGCAGCGGCAUCGCAAGAUGACAGUUGUUAAAGGAGCAAUUCGCUUGAAGAGGAGCUUGCGGCAGAUUAGCUAGUUGGUAAGGUAAUGGCUUACCAAGGCUACGAUCUGUAACCGGUCUUAGAGGACGGUCGGUCACACUGACACUGAAUAACGGGUCAG
This 227-nucleotide ribosomal RNA is filed under the name uncultured bacterium. RNAcentral describes it as "partial 16S ribosomal RNA". It matches the Rfam family "Bacterial small subunit ribosomal RNA", at positions 111 to 334 of the family's 1533-position model. The record is from RNAcentral.